RNAcentral lists this small nucleolar RNA (191 nucleotides) under Nicotiana attenuata. RNAcentral's name for it is "snoRNA Plant_U3". The record is from RNAcentral. Lineage: Eukaryota; Viridiplantae; Streptophyta; Magnoliopsida; Solanales; Solanaceae.
AUAAAAUUUGCAUCGGAUCUGUCCUAUUGGCUCGUACCACUGUAUCCUUGAGUUCUCAGGAGACAGGAAACCAAGUCUUGUGGAUGAAUCCCCGUCAUUAUACCAGUGCGUGAUUAACAGUCCCUAUAUCCUUCGGGUCAUGGAGCUGUAGAUGAUCAUUCUCUGCCCCUACCCACGGUGGGUGCCAAACU